GAAAUGCGAUAUGUUAUGUGAAUUGCAGAAUCCUGUGAACCAUUGAAUUUUUGAACGCAAGUUGCGCCUGAUGCCCACUUAUAGGUUGAGGGCAUGCCUGCUUGGGUGUCACAU
This 114-nucleotide ribosomal RNA is filed under the name Phoradendron nervosum. RNAcentral describes it as "partial 5.8S ribosomal RNA". It matches the Rfam family "5.8S ribosomal RNA", at positions 50 to 154 of the family's 154-position model. Rfam says of the family: 5.8S ribosomal RNA (5.8S rRNA) is a component of the large subunit of the eukaryotic ribosome. The record is from RNAcentral. Lineage: Eukaryota; Viridiplantae; Streptophyta; Magnoliopsida; Santalales; Viscaceae.